GCUCCCAUCGACUAGUGGUUAGGUCACCACUCUUUCAAGGUGGUAGCACGGGUUCGAAUCCCGUUGGGAGUA
Molecule: transfer RNA, 72 nt
Filed under: Chlorobiota bacterium
Lineage: Bacteria; Pseudomonadati; Chlorobiota
Also listed under: 1 other name
Description: tRNA-Glu
Rfam family: tRNA
About the family: Transfer RNA (tRNA) molecules are approximately 80 nucleotides in length. Their secondary structure includes four short double-helical elements and three loops (D, anti-codon, and T loops).
Source: RNAcentral